UACGUAGGUGACCAGCGUUGUCCGGAUUUACUGGGCGUAAAGAGCGCGCAGGCGGUCGUUCAAGUCGAGUGUGAAAGCCCCCGGCUCAACUGGGGAGGGUCAUUCGAUACUGAUCGACUUGAAGGCAGGAGAGGGUAGUGGAAUUCCCGGUGUAGUGGUGAAAUGCGUAGAUAUCGGGAGGAACACCAGUGGCGAAGGCGACUACCUGGCCUGUUCUUGACGCUGAGGCGCGAAAGCUAGGGGAGCAAACGGG
This 253-nucleotide ribosomal RNA is filed under the name uncultured bacterium. RNAcentral describes it as "partial 16S ribosomal RNA". It matches the Rfam family "Bacterial small subunit ribosomal RNA", at positions 524 to 776 of the family's 1533-position model. The record is from RNAcentral.